This 446-nucleotide ribosomal RNA is filed under the name uncultured bacterium. Its description in RNAcentral is "partial 16S ribosomal RNA". It matches the Rfam family "Bacterial small subunit ribosomal RNA", at positions 354 to 796 of the family's 1533-position model. The record is from RNAcentral.
GUAGGGAAUAUUGGACAAUGGGGGGAACCCUGAUCCAGCCAUGCCGCGUGGAGGAAGACUGCCCUCUGGGUUGUAAACUCCUUUUAUAUGGGAAGAACCGUCCUCAUUAAUGAGUGACCUGACGGUACCAUAGGAAUAAGCACCGGCUAACUCCGUGCCAGCAGCCGCGGUAAUACGGAGGGUGCAAGCGUUAUCCGGAUUCACUGGGUUUAAAGGGUGCGUAGGUGGAUAAAUAAGUCAGUGGUGAAAUCAACAGGCUCAACCUGUUAACUGCCAUUGAUACUGUGUAUCUUGAAUAUGAGAGAGGUAGGCGGAAUGUUGCAUGUAGCGGUGAAAUGCUUAGAUAUGCUACGGAACACAGAUUGCGAAGGCAGCUUACUAUUUCGUAAUUGACGCUGAGGCACGAAAGCGUGGGUAGCGAACAGGAUUAGAAACCCGUGUAGUCC